ACUGGUUGAUCCUGCCAGUAGUCAUAUGCUUGUCUUAAAGAUUAAGCCAUGCAUGUUUAAGUUCAUACCUUUGAAUGGUGAAACCGCGAAUGGCUCAUUAAAUCAGUUAUAAUUUCAUGGGAUGUGUUUUGUUAAUUGGAUAACUGUGGUAAUUCUAGAGCUAAUACAUGCAUAUACGUUCAACUUCGGUUGGAUGUGCUUCUAUUAGUGCAAACCAUGUCGUAAGACUAUAGGUGGUGACUCUGAAUAACUUUGCCGAGCAUUUCGGCCUUGUGUCGGUGCUAUUCCUUCAAAGUAUCUGCUCUAUCAACUGUCGAUGGUAUAUUAUAUGUUUACCAUGGUUGUAACGGGUAACGGGGAAUUAGGGUUCGAUUCCGGAGAGGGAGCCUGAGAAACGGCUACCACAUCUAAGGAAGGCAGCAGGCGCGCAAAUUACCCAAUCCCGGCUCGGGGAGGUAGUGACAAAAAAUAACAAUGCGGGUCUUAAAUGAGGCUUCGUAAUUGGAAUGAGUACAUUCUAAAUCCUUUAACGAGGAACUAUUGGAGGGCAAGUCUGGUGCCAGCAGCCGCGGUAAUUCCAGCUCCAAUAGCGUAUAUUAAAAUUGUUGCAUCUAAAAAGCUCGUAGUUUGAAAACUUGCCUUGACUUGCAAUAGGUCCACAUGGGCCACCGUUUGUCGAGCGCAAAUAUGGAUGACUGUUUUUGCCGGCUUAAUUGUUUGGCUUAUAAGAGUUAUCAAAUAUCACUUUGAUUAAAUUAGAGUGCUUAAAGCAAGUGUAUUACUUGAAUAUAAAUGCAUGGAAUGAUGGAAUAUGUUAUUGUUCUAUUUGUUGGUUUUGGAACGAUGAAAUGAUUGAAAGGAACUGAUGGGGGCAUUCGUAUUGUUGUGAAAGAGGUGAAAUUCUUAGACCACAGCAAGACGAACUACUGCGAAAGCAUUUGCCAAGAAUGUUUUCAUUGAUCAAGAACGAAAGUUAGAGGUUCGAAGGCGAUCAGAUACCGCCCUAGUUCUAACCAUAAACUAUGCCAACUAGCAAUUUGCUUACGUAUGUUUUACGACUAAGUGAGAGGCCACGGGAAAAAAAAACGCCAAUCGAGUAUUGGCGUUUGGAGAUGAUCAAUCUUAGUCAUGAUAGACUAUGAACAAAAAGUGUGUGUUCGGCGGCUCUCACUUAUCGUCGCAGCAUCAAGACUGCUACUUUUUUUCAUAUGGAGAUUCACUUGUAAAAUCCAUGGUGCGCGCCGGCCAUUUUCUUACCAUAAUCCAGGAUUCAUGAUACUUAAGGAGCGCCUCCACAAAUGCUUGACAUGUCAGGGAGCUUCCCAGAUCAAGACUGCUACAACUACAACUACUACCCUAGCUACUAACUAUAACUUCUAGAUAUUCUAUAUAAAGCCGUAACAAAAGACGAGAUAAGGAAAUCGAACGGAACAAUCGCGCGUUAUCAACU
This 1450-nucleotide ribosomal RNA is filed under the name Dermanyssus gallinae. Its description in RNAcentral is "bacterial SSU rRNA". The stretch from base 1 to 1122 matches the Rfam family "Eukaryotic small subunit ribosomal RNA". The record is from RNAcentral. Lineage: Eukaryota; Metazoa; Arthropoda; Arachnida; Mesostigmata; Dermanyssidae.